CACUGUCUGUCAGACUGGGCAUCAACUUCCUACCAGAAUAUACAAAUAAGUUAACUUCUGAAUAUAAAGACAUGGAAAGUAGUGUUGUAUCAAAUUUAAAGACACAUUAUUCUAAUAUUCCGGGGUUCAGGAGUGUCUCUGUGACGGGAUUUCGGCAGGGAAGUGUGAUUGUAGACUUUGUUGUUCAGGUAUUAAAUGGUUCUGAAAAACAAAUUGAAGAAGCAAACAAAAACCUCAAGUCGGCCUUGAAUUCCAUUGGGCCAGUCCUCGGAGUUCCACAGUAUUACAGUACAUAAAAUAUACUUUUUGUUUU
Non-coding RNA from Oryzias latipes (Japanese medaka), 313 nucleotides. The record is from RefSeq and is a predicted model, not a curated record. Lineage: Eukaryota; Metazoa; Chordata; Actinopteri; Beloniformes; Adrianichthyidae.